This 468-nucleotide ribosomal RNA is filed under the name uncultured bacterium. RNAcentral describes it as "partial 16S ribosomal RNA". It matches the Rfam family "Bacterial small subunit ribosomal RNA", at positions 28 to 507 of the family's 1533-position model. The record is from RNAcentral.
GACGAACGCUGGCGGCGUGCUUAACACAUGCAAGUCGAACGGAAAGGCCCUGCUUUUGUGGGGUGCUCGAGUGGCGAACGGGUGAGUAACACGUGAGUAACCUGCCCUUGACUUUGGGAUAACUUUAGGAAACUGGGGCUAAUACCGGAUAGGAGCUCCUGCUGCAUGGGGGUGGUUGGUAAGUUUCGGCGGUUGGGGAUGGACUCGCUGCUUAUCCGCUUGUUGGUGGGGUAGUGGCUUACCAGGGCUUUGACGGGUAGCCGGCCUGAGAGGGUGACCGGCCACAUUGGGACUGAGAUACGGCCCAGUCUCCUACGGGAGGCAGCAGUGGGGAAUAUUGCACAAUGGGCGGAAGCCUGAUGCAGCAACGCCGCGUGCGUGAUGACGGCCUUCGGGUUGUGAACCGCUUUCGCCUGUGACGAAGCGUGAGUGACGGUAAUGAGUAAAGAAGCACCGGCUAACUACGUG